GUCCGGACGGGAUAAACGCUGAAAGCAUCUAAGCGUGAAGCCCACCCCAAGAUUAGGUCUCCCGGGAUGUAUGUCCCCUAAAGGUCCCUGGUAGACUACCAGGUCGAUAGGCUGGAGGUGUAAGCGUGGUAACACGCUCAGCCGAUCAGUACUAAUAGACCGUGAGGCUUGACCCA
RNAcentral lists this ribosomal RNA (176 nucleotides) under Nitrospiraceae bacterium. Its description in RNAcentral is "partial 23S ribosomal RNA". It matches the Rfam family "Bacterial large subunit ribosomal RNA", at positions 2753 to 2925 of the family's 2925-position model. Lineage: Bacteria; Pseudomonadati; Nitrospirota; Nitrospiria; Nitrospirales; Nitrospiraceae. The record is from RNAcentral.